This is a non-coding RNA of Armillaria luteobubalina, 99 nucleotides long. The record is from the annotation of a GenBank genome assembly. Lineage: Eukaryota; Fungi; Basidiomycota; Agaricomycetes; Agaricales; Physalacriaceae.
GGGUCGAUGGCGUAGCUGGUUAUCGCAUCUGUCUAACAUAUGAUAUUCCUAUAUUCAUGUGUUCACAGAAGGUCCUCAGUUCGAACCUGGGUCGACUCA